Molecule: ribosomal RNA, 1509 nt
Filed under: Lactiplantibacillus pentosus
Lineage: Bacteria; Bacillati; Bacillota; Bacilli; Lactobacillales; Lactobacillaceae
Description: bacterial SSU rRNA
Rfam family: Bacterial small subunit ribosomal RNA
Source: RNAcentral
GGGCCUUGCCGCGGCUAUACAUGCAGUCGACGAACUCUGGUAUUGAUUGGUGCUUGCAUCAUGAUUUACAUUUGAGUGAGUGGCGAACUGGUGAGUAACACGUGGGAAACCUGCCCAGAAGCGGGGGAUAACACCUGGAAACAGAUGCUAAUACCGCAUAACAACUUGGACCGCAUGGUCCGAGUUUGAAAGAUGGCUUCGGCUAUCACUUUUGGAUGGUCCCGCGGCGUAUUAGCUAGAUGGUGGGGUAACGGCUCACCAUGGCAAUGAUACGUAGCCGACCUGAGAGGGUAAUCGGCCACAUUGGGACUGAGACACGGCCCAAACUCCUACGGGAGGCAGCAGUAGGGAAUCUUCCACAAUGGACGAAAGUCUGAUGGAGCAACGCCGCGUGAGUGAAGAAGGGUUUCGGCUCGUAAAACUCUGUUGUUAAAGAAGAACAUAUCUGAGAGUAACUGUUCAGGUAUUGACGGUAUUUAACCAGAAAGCCACGGCUAACUACGUGCCAGCAGCCGCGGUAAUACGUAGGUGGCAAGCGUUGUCCGGAUUUAUUGGGCGUAAAGCGAGCGCAGGCGGUUUUUUAAGUCUGAUGUGAAAGCCUUCGGCUCAACCGAAGAAGUGCAUCGGAAACUGGGAAACUUGAGUGCAGAAGAGGACAGUGGAACUCCAUGUGUAGCGGUGAAAUGCGUAGAUAUAUGGAAGAACACCAGUGGCGAAGGCGGCUGUCUGGUCUGUAACUGACGCUGAGGCUCGAAAGUAUGGGUAGCAAACAGGAUUAGAUACCCUGGUAGUCCAUACCGUAAACGAUGAAUGCUAAGUGUUGGAGGGUUUCCGCCCUUCAGUGCUGCAGCUAACGCAUUAAGCAUUCCGCCUGGGGAGUACGGCCGCAAGGCUGAAACUCAAAGGAAUUGACGGGGGCCCGCACAAGCGGUGGAGCAUGUGGUUUAAUUCGAAGCUACGCGAAGACCUUACCAGGUCUUGACAUACUAUGCAAAUCUAGGAGAUUAGACGUUCCCUUCGGGGACAUGAUACAGGUGGUGCAUGUUGUCGUCAGCUCGUGUCGUGAGAUGUUAGAUGUUGGGUUAAGUCCCGCAACGAGCGCAACCCUUAUUAUCAGUUGCCAGCAUUAAGUUGGGCACUCUGGUGAGACUGCCGGUGACAAACCGGAGGAAGGUGGGGAUGACGUCAAAUCAUCAUGCCCCUUAUGACCUGGGCUACACACGUGCUACAAUGGAUGGUACAACGAGUUGCGAACUCGCGAGAGUAAGCUAAUCUCUUAAAGCCAUUCUCAGUUCGGAUUGUAGGCUGCAACUCGCCUACAUGAAGUCGGAAUCGCUAGUAAUCGCGGAUCAGCAUGCCGCGGUGAAUACGUUCCCGGGCCUUGUACACACCGCCCGUCACACCAUGAGAGUUUGUAACACCCAAAGUCGGUGGGGUAACCUUUUAGGAACCAGCCGCCUAAGGUGGGACAGAUGAUUAGGGUGAAGUCGAACAAAGAGGCUCGUCCCA